This 119-nucleotide ribosomal RNA is filed under the name Danio rerio (zebrafish). Lineage: Eukaryota; Metazoa; Chordata; Actinopteri; Cypriniformes; Danionidae. The record is from RNAcentral.
GCUUACGGCCAUACCAUGCUGGCAAUACCUGAUCUCAUCUGAACUCGGAAGUAAAGCAGGGUCGGGCCUGGUUAGUACUUGGAUGGCAGACCGCCUGGCAAUACCAGGUGCUGUAAGCU